GACUGUGAACGCUGGGAAGCAGACCUUCCAAGAACACCUCGCCUGGAGGAACAGAGAUAAAGAUAACCAAGAAGCUAUUCCUGCCCUUGAGAAACCCACUCCGGUGUGCCUCCUGGAAAAGAUGCUUCUUCUUGCUCCUUCCUGCCUUCUUAACCAAAAGUCUGUCUUGAGCAUUGACAUCCCCUGCAGCUCCUCCUACAGACCUCACUUGAGUCUACCCUAGAAUACAAUGAUUACCCGUGGCUUCAUGGCUGUGGUGGACCCCACAA
Molecule: long non-coding RNA, 269 nt
Organism: Grammomys surdaster
Lineage: Eukaryota; Metazoa; Chordata; Mammalia; Rodentia; Muridae
Exons: 2
Source: RefSeq, a predicted model, not a curated record